RNAcentral lists this ribosomal RNA (470 nucleotides) under Fusarium merismoides. RNAcentral describes it as "eukaryotic LSU rRNA". The stretch from base 136 to 289 matches the Rfam family "5.8S ribosomal RNA". The record is from RNAcentral. Lineage: Eukaryota; Fungi; Ascomycota; Sordariomycetes; Hypocreales; Nectriaceae.
ACCCCUGUGAACAUACCUAUCGUUGCUUCGGCGGAUCCGCCCCGGUGCCUUCGGGCCCGGACUCAGGCGCCCGCCGGGGGACCCAAACUCUUGUAUUUCUUUAGUAUCUUCUGAGUAAACAAGCAAAUAAAUUAAAACUUUCAACAACGGAUCUCUUGGUUCUGGCAUCGAUGAAGAACGCAGCGAAAUGCGAUAAGUAAUGUGAAUUGCAGAAUUCCGUGAAUCAUCGAAUCUUUGAACGCACAUUGCGCCCGCCAGUAUUCUGGCGGGCAUGCCUGUUCGAGCGUCAUUUCAACCCUCAAGCCCCCGGGCUUGGUGUUGGGGCUCGGCCCGUCCCUAGCGGCGCGCCGUCCCCGAAAUCUAGUGGCGGUCACGCUGUACUCCUCUGCGUAGUAAUCUAACCUCGCAACGGGACAAAGCGCGGCCACGCCGUUAAACCCCCAACUUCUGAAGGUUGACCUCGGAUCAGG